GACGAACGCUGGCGGCGUGCUUAACACAUGCAAGUCGAACGGAGAGGCCCUGCUUUUGCGGGGUGCUCGAGUGGCGAACGGGUGAGUAACACGUGAGUAACCUGCCCUUGACUUUGGGAUAACUUCAGGAAACUGGGGCUAAUACCGGAUAGGAGCUCCUGCUGCAUGGUGGGGGUUGGAAAGUUUCGGCGGUUGGGGAUGGACUCGCGGCUUAUCAGCUUGUUAGUGGGGUAGUGGCUUACCAAGGCUUUGACGGGUAGCCGGCCUGAGAGGGUGACCGGCCACAUUGGGACUGAGAUACGGCCCAGACUCCUACGGGAGGCAGCAGUGGGGAAUAUUGCACAAUGGGCGGAAGCCUGAUGCAGCAACGCCGCGUGCGGGAUGACGGCCUUCGGGUUGUAAACCGCUUUCGCCUGUGACGAAGCGUGAGUGACGGUAAUGGGUAAAGAAGCACCGGCUAACUACGUG
This 468-nucleotide ribosomal RNA is filed under the name uncultured bacterium. Its description in RNAcentral is "partial 16S ribosomal RNA". It matches the Rfam family "Bacterial small subunit ribosomal RNA", at positions 28 to 507 of the family's 1533-position model. The record is from RNAcentral.